This 253-nucleotide ribosomal RNA is filed under the name uncultured bacterium. RNAcentral describes it as "partial 16S ribosomal RNA". It matches the Rfam family "Bacterial small subunit ribosomal RNA", at positions 524 to 776 of the family's 1533-position model. The record is from RNAcentral.
UACGGAGGGGGCUAGCGUUGUUCGGAAUUACUGGGCGUAAAGCGCACGUAGGCGGCUUUGUAAGUUAGAGGUGAAAGCCCGGGGCUCAACUCCGGAAUUGCCUUUAAGACUGCAUCGCUCGAAUUGUGGAGAGGUAAGUGGAAUUCCGAGUGUAGAGGUGAAAUUCGUAGAUAUCGGGAGGAACACCAGUGGCGAAGGCGGCGAUCUGGGAAGAUACUGACGCUGAGGUGCGAAAGCGUGGGGAGCAAACAGG